This 433-nucleotide ribosomal RNA is filed under the name uncultured bacterium. RNAcentral describes it as "partial 16S ribosomal RNA". It matches the Rfam family "Bacterial small subunit ribosomal RNA", at positions 29 to 507 of the family's 1533-position model. The record is from RNAcentral.
AACGAACGCUGGCGGCAUGCCUAACACAUGCAAGUCGAACGAAGGCUUCGGCCUUUGUGUCGCACGGGGGCGUAACGCGUGGGAAGCUUCCCACGGGGUUGGCCUAACAGCUGGAAACGGCUGCCAAUACGGGAUGAUGGCUAAAGCCCAAAGAUUUAUUGCCCGAGGUUGAGCCCUCGUUGGAUUAGGUUGUUGGUGGGGUAAAGGCCUACCAAGCCGACGAUCCAUAGCUGGUCUGUGAGGAUGAUCAGCGACACUGGGACUGAGACCCGGCCCAGACUCCUACGGGAGGCGGCAGUGGGGAAUAUUGGACAAUGGGCGCAAGCCUGAUCCAGCACUGCCGCGUGAGUGCUGAAGGUAGUAGGGUUGUAAAGCUCUAUUAACCGGGAAGGUCAUGACGGUACCGGGUGAGUAAGCCCCGGCUAACUCCGUG